Molecule: non-coding RNA, 195 nt
Organism: Caenorhabditis elegans
Lineage: Eukaryota; Metazoa; Nematoda; Chromadorea; Rhabditida; Rhabditidae
Source: Ensembl
UCCUGGACCAUCAAAAUAGUAUGUAAAUUAAAGAGAGUUUAGACAUACGACAGAAGGCCGAAGCACUGAAAUAUUCAUCAACCUGUGUGAGGAUGGAUGCGUGUGUAGGACGAAAAAGAAGAAGAGGCUGUGUGUGUGUGAGAGCAGAAACGACGAAACGAUUACGGUAGUUUGUGUUUGAACAUCGUUAACUGG